UUACGGCCAUAUCACGUUAAAAUACCAGUUGUCGUCACCGAUCACCGAAGUUAAGCAACGUUGAACCAAGUCAGUACCUAGAUGGGUGACCGUCUGCGAAUAUCA
Molecule: non-coding RNA, 105 nt
Organism: Acanthosepion pharaonis
Lineage: Eukaryota; Metazoa; Mollusca; Cephalopoda; Sepiida; Sepiidae
Source: the annotation of a GenBank genome assembly